CUUGUUGUUUCUUAGCCGUUAAUUAUUAAUUGUUGUUUAGUUAUAUUAUUAAUUGAGUUACUAGCUUAGUGGUAAGGGUGGUGGUUGUGGUUGUGUUUGG
Long non-coding RNA from Ipomoea nil (Japanese morning glory), 100 nucleotides. RefSeq lists it as uncharacterized. The record is from RefSeq and is a predicted model, not a curated record. NCBI's taxonomy places the organism in Eukaryota, Viridiplantae, Streptophyta, Magnoliopsida, Solanales, Convolvulaceae. The transcript has 3 exons.